CACUUAGCGUGGAAAAACGCGUGUGCAGGGACCUUUAACGGUCUCGUCCGAAACUGAGAAGCGAAAGUGAAACUAUCGAGUCCGCGUCGCAGUGAACGCAGUGAACGGUUCUCGUGUGUUUUGUUGGUUCAAUCGAUGGUUGUGAUCGUUAAUCAGAGGAGUCCGUCAACAUGCAGCUGCUUCCUCUGAGUCUCUGUCUCCUGACUUUGACUGGAUCAACGUUUUCUGACGGAAACGGUCCAGAGAUCAUCACAGUGACAGAAGGCAGUGAUGUGAUUCUGCCCUAAAAUCAACAAGAACAUUGAGUCUGAGCAGAUUGAGUGGAAGAAAGAUGGAAAGAAGGCGGUUUACCUGUAUGAAGGUGGACCGUUAUCAGGUCAAGAUGAUCAGUUCAGUGGUCGUGUGUCUCAUUUUAAUCAUGAACUGAGGAACGGUGACGCCUCCAUAACCAUCAGUGAUACUAAAGUGUCUGACAGUGGAGACUACACAUGUGAUUUCCCAAAUCUUCACCAAACCUUCACCGUUCGUCUUGUUGUUGGUCCAGUGAGCAUCAUAGUGAUAGAAGGCGAUGAUGUGAUUCUGCCCUGUAAAAUCAACAAGGACAUUUCAUUAGAGCGGUUUGAGUGGAAGAAAGAUGGAAAGAAGGAUGUUUACCUGCAUGAAAGUAGUCCGUUAUUAGUUGAUGAUGGUCAGUUCAGUGGUCGUGUGUCUCAUUCUGAUCAUGAACUGAGGAACGGUGACGCCUCCAUAACCAUCAGUGAUACUAAAGUGUCUGACAGUGGAGACUACACCUGUGAUUUCCCAAAUCUUCACCAAACCUUCACCGUUCGUCUUGUUGUUGGUAAAGCUGCAAAGGUUUCCAUCCAAAAUCCUGAACAAACUGAGGACGGGUUCCUGCUGAAGUGUUUGGUUUCAGAUGUUUCUCCAGGAUUUAAACUGAACAUCUCCUGGUUCGACAGCUCUGGAAACAAACUUAUUGAACAAAAAAGCGACACAGAAAGUGAAAAACUCCACAUCCUCCAAACUACUGUGAAAAAGAGCGACACUUAUCGCUGUGUAGCAACAAUGGAGGAACUCAGUCAUCAGGUUCAUUCUGAGGUUCAUGUCCACAUCCCUGGAAUGCAUGAAGUCUAGGAAACAGAAAACCAUGACGACAAUGAUGCCUUUUAUUCAUGAAGAGGAAGAAUGUGGUGCUUCUUUCAUCAGAUCCUAAAACUUCAUCGACCCUCAACAACUCAUCGUCUUCAUUUUCAUCAGUGAACUUUUCUCCAUGGAGACAGUUCUUUCACCACUGUUGUCAUGACAACCACCGCUUAAUCUCUCCUUGGAUUAAAUAGUUAUUUGUCUGAAAAAUGUUUAUUGAAUUAUUAAAUCAGCAGCUUAGUUUUUGUCCAUAACAAAGAAAUCUUAAAACUAUCAUAUCAGAUUGUCACGGUUUGGUCACGGUUCCUGCUUUAUUCUGAAAGGACUUCCUGUUUCCAGUUACACCACAGCUGCUCUCACACAAUCACUGGUUCUCAUCAUGCACACCUGACAGUAAUCAGUAUUCAGCCCAGCAUAUAAGCUCCAUGUCUCACACUAACCAGUUUCCAAAUUGUCGCGUGUACUCACCUCUUUCCAGCAUUACCGCCUCAGCUGAUCCUGAGCUUGUUUUUGAACCUCGUGACUCCUGAUUCCUGCCUGCUCCGUGCCUGUACCUGUAGAAAACCCGGUAACGAACCUGCCUGUCUGACCUGAGAACGCCUGAUCCCGAUCUGUGCCUUACAUGUUAUUGAACCUCGCCUGUCGUUGAACCUGAGAAUGCCUGGUCCUCUGUACUGAUGCUGCGCUUUCCUGUGCACGACCUCGCCUGAAACUGACCCUGUCUUCGCCUAAUAAAUCCCUUUAUACCACGAUCUGUUCCUGUUUGAGCCGUGCAUGUGGGUCCGUCAUCUCAUUGGUUCUGACACAGAUCAAGCUUCUUUAUGUGGAAAUACUUCACUUAGUAUAAAGGUUGUCUUUGUUUAGUUCACCAUAGCUUAUUUUAGUCAUGCAUGUUCAAAAAUGAUUUUCCCGUGAAUUUUCAGUAACUAUUGUUGUUUUGUAUCAACUUUUGUUUUGAUUCCUAUUAACAGACAUAUUUACAGUUUAAUAUCAGACUAGUUUUGCUUCUUUUAUUUGCUGCAGCAAAAAUUAUUUAGUUUGAUGUGAAGUUAAACAUUUACUCCAUCACCUGUUUAUUUCUAUCACAUUAAUACAUUUGUUACUUUAUUAACACAAACAUCAGCUUAAAUUAACGAUCUUCCAGUAUUAAAUUCUUAAAUAAAUCACAAAAUCUAAAAUCAGAUGUCGAUGUUUUUGCUUUUUCAUAAAUAAACUAAACACGUUUAAUCAUUUCAAACCUGAGUUUUCCUGCUACAUAAAGUUCACAUUAGUUUCAUUGGGUUGAACAGAUAAACAUCCACUGCUGAAGCUUUAUUUCCAGCUGAAUCCAGACUUUCUUCUUCUUCGUCGCCUCCAGCUUCACUGUCGUUCAGUGACUCUAACAACCGAGUCUCCACCGACCACAGGUGACGCCCGUCGUCCUGGGGUUCUUUAAUCACGUGACCGCUGCCAAGCGACUGUCGCUGUUAAACAACAAUGGCAGAGAAGAUGCAGGACAUGAGUCAGUUAAUGUGAACUGAGCGCGAUGAGGGUAAAUCCGGAUCUGGACUCCUUUCCCACCAUCAGCAGAGAAGCGCCAACCAACAACCAGAACGGGUGGAAGCUCUGACACCACAGCAGCUGGAGGACACAGACCACAGCAUGGACUUCCACACGUCCCUC
RNA transcript from Betta splendens (Siamese fighting fish), 2805 nucleotides. It is a transcript of the gene named coxsackievirus and adenovirus receptor homolog, with no coding region annotated. NCBI's taxonomy places the organism in Eukaryota, Metazoa, Chordata, Actinopteri, Anabantiformes, Osphronemidae. The transcript is spliced from 7 exons. The record is from RefSeq and is a predicted model, not a curated record.